UGCUCAGAGUUCCUGCACUGAGCGCUUUCGUUUCUUGGUUUUGUGUGUGUGUGUGAGCUAUGGCUCGUUCCUCAAGGGCUCUCUUGGAACCUAGUGUGGGAACCCACGGGUGCCGGGCACCCUCGGUGGUAUCAGAGAGGCAGGUAAUUUCCAGUGUGCGGAGAGGUGACAUCCUAGGGGCUGGGGUGGUCUGAGAUUAUGGUUCCCUGACACCUAUUCGUAAAGAGUUCGAGCCUGCGUUUGAGAAGGUUAUUUACUUACAUACCUCAAGACUACGCUAUGGAAAUAAAAUUUAAAGAUGAUGGAUGAGGACAUCGGCAGCUUCUGGACAAGCAUGCAUGGGAUCCUGGGUUCAAUACCCCGUGGCAGCAAAAAUGAAAUAAUUGAAUCGGGCAUGGUAACACAUGUUUGUAACCUCAGCAGGUAGUUAGCAGGGUGCCCCCAUUAUAUUGGGAGUGGAGAGCCAGCCUGGGCUGCCAGAGAAUCAAUCUCUCUCUCUCCCUCUCUCUCUUCAGAUCUUCUUAGGGUUAUUAUUGCAGCUAUGACAACUGUUGUUAAAACAAGACAAAGAGGCUCAAACCCAAGCUCCUUGAAUGACAAAAACGAAAGAAUCAACCCCCACGACUGUUUGACUCAUGAAAUGAACAAGUCCUAAAGAUCUGUGGAUCCAACAGUUUUUGGUCGUGGCUACUAAGUCAUUGGGAAGAACCUUACCAGUGACACAUACUUAAGGUUGUUAAAGUUUCUAUUUCCCACUGUCCAAGAGUUCUUGCAAACUCGUUGGAACAGUGUUUCUCAACUUUUGGCUGGAGAUCCUUAUUCAAAGGUUACCUAAGACCAUCUGAAAAGAGGGAGUCACCUGGGCUGUCAUGUUGUAAGAAACUAAAGCCUGCAUUUCUGCUGCUUGCACCACUGAAAUCCUGGAGGCCAAAUGAUCACAACACUAUCCUCUUAUCCCCAUGGAACUGGAGCAGUGAGCAGAUUCUUCACGGAAGAGUUGGCAC
Molecule: long non-coding RNA, 1004 nt
Filed under: Mus musculus (house mouse)
Lineage: Eukaryota; Metazoa; Chordata; Mammalia; Rodentia; Muridae
Description: predicted gene, 49625
Source: RNAcentral